Eucalyptus grandis is the source of this 2125-nucleotide RNA transcript. RefSeq lists it as uncharacterized. The transcript has 5 exons. The record is from RefSeq and is a predicted model, not a curated record. Lineage: Eukaryota; Viridiplantae; Streptophyta; Magnoliopsida; Myrtales; Myrtaceae.
GACACUAGGACUUGGGUUAGCUCGAGGUCAGUCGCCCGAAGAAAACAAAAUCACCACCUACCUCCGCCGCUCCUCCGCCGCAUUCCGCCUCGAGCUCCGCUCCCAAAUGGCGAAUCCCGACUCCGACUCACCGGACUCCGCCUCCCAAGCCCCUAACGAUGCGUAUCGUCCCGAACGUCCGGUCGAAGAAGAAGAUGAAGAAGACGAGAUGGACGAAUCUGACGACGACGGCGGCGGCGACGAGGACGACGAGCUCGAGCGCCGCGCGCCGCCGCCGCCGCCCCGGUCGCAGGAGGACCGGUUGCGGGCGCACAGGGCGAGGCUCAACAACCUCUCGCAGAAGCUCUCGUCGGAGAGCGUCCCGAUCCGGGUGCACGACGUCCUGAUCAAGGGCAACGCGAAGACUAGGGAUUGGGUUAUCGAGGCCGAGCUGGAGGACCUGAAGAAGGCGGCGUCGCUGCAGGAGCUGCUGCAGGCCGCGAGCGUCGCGAAUUUCAGGCUCCAGCAGCUGGGGAUCUUCCAGUCCGUCAACAUCGUGCUCGAUUCGGGGCCCAAGGAGUUGCCCGGCACCGCGAACGUGGUCGUCAACGUCGUCGAGGCCGCGAACCCGCUGUCCGGCGAAAUUGGUUACUAUACUAAGCCGGAGGCUAGAUCUUCAACGCUUGAAGGAGUUUUGAAACUCAAAAACUUGCUUGGAUAUGGUGACCUUUGGGAUGGUUCUUUUGCAUAUGGAUGGAAUCAAACAUCCGAGCUAAGUGCUGGUGUCUAUAUCCCUAGAAUAAAAAGCUUGUUAGCUCCUUUGAGUGCACGAGUAUUCUUGGUAUCCCAGGACUGGUUGAAGUACUCUUCAUACAAUGAACAAUCAUUAGGGCUUUCCCUUGGCCUAGUUUCAACAAGGAAUCAUGACUUGGCUUACAACUUGACAUGGCGUACAUUGACAGAUCCUUCCCAGAUGUCGGCUGGAUCAAUAAGGAGGCAGCUGGGACAUGGUUUAAUCUCUUCCUUAAAAUACUCUUUCAGGUUUGACAGGAGAAACUCACCCAUCAGACCAACACGAGGAUAUGCUUUUCUUUCUACUAGUCAAAUUGGUGGCCUUACACCUGAUCCCCGAAGUGCACGUUUUAUCCGCCAGGAGCUCGAUCUUCGUUAUGCUUUGCCUCUGGGAUUUUAUCAUGCUGCUAUCAACGUUGGAAUCUCUAGUGGAGUUAUCUUUCCCUGGGGAUGUGGAUUUCUGCAAAAGCCUUCACCGUUGCCAGAAAGAUUCUUCAUGGGUGGCAAUACCUCUCCAUUUUACUCUUUAGGAGGUCCUACUUCACUUUUAGGGUUUCGGACUAGGGGUAUGGGCCCCACUGAACCAAGAAGGCAAACUGGCAAUGAUGAUCUUGAAAGGGAUUAUGUUGGUGGUGACCUUGCUCUUACCACUUUUGCUGACCUUUCUUUUGAUCUUCCAUUCAGUUGGUGCCAAAAGAGUGGAAUCUAUGGACAUGUGUUCGCAUGUGCUGGAAACCUAGCCAAGUUGACACAGAAUGAGUUUCGGAACUUUUCCUUUCAGAAUUUCCUAAAAUCCUGCAGAAGCUCUGUUGGAGCUGGAAUUGUUGUGCCCACGAGUAUCGUGCGAGUGGAGGUUAACUACUGCUAUGUGUUGAAGCAAUAUGAGUUUGAUCGAGGGAAGACUGGGCUACGAGUUAGCUUUUCUUCUACAUGAUUAAAUUUGCACUUCUUUCCUGAUGUAUGAGUGUCUACAUAGCAGAAAAGAAGUAAAACCCAUCAUUCAGGGGAGGAGCUUGAUCAUAUCCAUAACUUGAUGGCUCUUUUGGUUACCCGUGCUUCAUUGAUGCUUUUUCCCUGCAAAUGCUUGUGGUUGCUUGGUGAAGUGGCGAUAAGACUUCAAAGAACCAUCGUCUUGGUGUUUUCUUCAGAUUGGACGAUUCUGAGGAACGCCAAUAAUUGAUUGAUGUAAAAAUUGAAGUGUCUAAAGAAGGUACAUCCGAGGGAACUGUUGUUUAUUCUGUGAUGUGAAGCUUUGUUUAAACGUUUGAAAGUGUCCAAGUGAUGUAAGGAGAAAAAGGAUCAAGAAACAUGCAUGAUUGUGAAUGUGAUGAUGAUGAUGAUGAUGAUGUGGAGA